GACGAACGCUGGCGGCGUGCUUAACACAUGCAAGUCGAACGGAAAGGCCCUGCUUUUGUGUGGUGCUCGAGUGGCGAACGGGUGAGUAACAUGGGAGUAACCUGCCCUUGACUUUGUGAUAACUUCAGGAAACUGGGGCUAAUACCGGAUAGGAGCUCCUGCUGCAGGGUGGGGGUUGGAAAGUUUCGGCUGUUGGGGCUGGACUCGCGGCUUAUCAGCUUGUUGGGGGGGUAGGGGCUUACCAAGGCUUUGGCGGGUAGCCGGCAUGGGAGGGUGACCGGGCACAAUGGGACUGAGAUACGGCCCAGACUGCUACGGGAGGCAGCAGUGGGGAAUAUUGCACAAUGGGCGGAAGCGUGAUGCAGCAACGCCGCGUGCGGGAUGCAGGCCUUCGGGGUGUAAACCGCUUUCGCCUGUGACGAAGCGUGAGUGACGGUAAUGGGUAAAGAAGCACCGGCUAACUACGUG
Molecule: ribosomal RNA, 468 nt
Filed under: uncultured bacterium
Lineage: Bacteria
Description: partial 16S ribosomal RNA
Rfam family: Bacterial small subunit ribosomal RNA
Source: RNAcentral